RNAcentral lists this ribosomal RNA (443 nucleotides) under uncultured bacterium. RNAcentral describes it as "partial 16S ribosomal RNA". It matches the Rfam family "Bacterial small subunit ribosomal RNA", at positions 338 to 795 of the family's 1533-position model. The record is from RNAcentral.
CCUACGUGUGUCAGCAGUGGGGGAUAUUGGACAAUGGGGGGAACCCUGAUCCAGCGAAGCCGCGUGAGUGAAGAAGUAUUUCGGUAUGUAAAGCUCUGUCAGCAGGGAAGAAAGAAAUGACGGUACCUGACCAAGAAGCCCCGGCUAACUACGUGCCAGCAGCCGCGGUAAUAAGGAGGGGGCAAGCGUUAUCCUGAAUUACUGGGUGUAAAGGCCGCGUAGAAGGUUAAGUAAGUCUGGAGGGAAAGGCCGGGGCCCAACCCCGGGACUGCUAUGGAAACUAUUGAAGUUGAGUGCAGGAGAGGUAAGCGGAAUUCCUAGGGUAGCGGUGAAAUGCGUAGAUAUUAGGAGGAACACCAGUGGCGAAGGCGGCUUACUGGACUGUAACUGACGUUGAGGCUCGAAAGCGUGGGGAGCAAACAGGAUUAGAUACCCCUGUAGUC